RNAcentral lists this long non-coding RNA (786 nucleotides) under Microcebus murinus (gray mouse lemur). RNAcentral describes it as "lncRNA (ENSMICG00000048835.1)". The record is from RNAcentral. Lineage: Eukaryota; Metazoa; Chordata; Mammalia; Primates; Cheirogaleidae.
CGAGACUCCGGUGCUCCGUUGCUCUUCUGGCAGUCCGCGCUCCCCGGCAUCCCCGCUCACAACUUCCGUCUCCGCGCUGAUGACCCAGUCCGCUUCUCCAGCCAGCCUCGCCGUUCCUGGCCCCAGACCCCAGGGCGCGCGCUGCGUCCUCGCGGAAGCUCCGCGGCUCUCACAGUCCGCGUGAUGUUCUGGUUUCUCGUUGGAGCCCAUCAGCCUUUCACCUUUUACAACUCAACAUGUCCCAAGCCUCGUUCUAGACAUGUAGUUGGAAAAGAGAGAAACUCACAGAGCCCUAGAAAUGGUCUUAGAGCCCCCAGGUGUUCUAGGCCACCUUCUAAGAACCACUGCGGCUGCCAUAGGCCGGUGUGACCCAGUCCUGGAGAACUGUGACUUGUGACUGUGGCCUGUGACUUUUCCCCGUCUGGAGUACAAGGCUACCGGGGAGGGCUGGAGACCUGGACCUCCCACGCUGCCAGGAAGGAGACUGCGGAGAUGGGGGACUGAGAGGAAGAAUGAAGAUACCACUGGAUAGCCAGCUAGCCGCGGGCCCGGUGUGCUGGGCGGUCGAAGCGAUCAGCGAGCGUGCCGGGCGUGGAGGCCGACGCGCCGCGCAGAGGAUGGAUCGCGCGGCCCUCGCGGCACCGUCAGCUUCCGCCAGUGUGGACACCACGCGCCAAAGCACGUCCCGCCACCACGCACCCCAAGAGCCUCACUUUAACCCUCGGGCUCAGCUGCCCCAACGAGGGGCUUGCCACGGGAUCCCCCAAAUAAAUUCUUUGUACAACA